GGAUGCGAUCAUACCAGCACUAAAGCACCGGAUCCCAUCAGAACUCUGAAGUUAAGCGUGCUUGGGCGAGAGUAGUACUAGGAUGGGUGACCUCUUGGGAAGUCCUCGUGUUGCAUUCC
RNAcentral lists this ribosomal RNA (119 nucleotides) under Triticum aestivum (bread wheat). The record is from RNAcentral. RNAcentral also lists the same sequence under 1 other name. Lineage: Eukaryota; Viridiplantae; Streptophyta; Magnoliopsida; Poales; Poaceae.